Molecule: small RNA, 239 nt
Filed under: Arabidopsis thaliana (thale cress)
Lineage: Eukaryota; Viridiplantae; Streptophyta; Magnoliopsida; Brassicales; Brassicaceae
Description: ATSL027360
Source: RNAcentral
AAAGAACCAUUUGAACUCACAUUUUAGAUUAUAUUGAUAUAUCAAUAGAUUAGUCCCUUCAACAUAUAGGUUUAUAUUUUGUGUCUUUAUAAGUAUCAGGUCAAGUCAAUUUAUUGUCAGUUAUGACAAAUUCUUAGACGCUGUGAACAAUAAGUUUAAUGUCGGUUCAAGAUUUACAAUGCGGUUUGAGGGUGAUGAUUUCUCUGAAAGAAGGUAACAUUAGAUGAAAUUUAUUUUCU